This 250-nucleotide ribosomal RNA is filed under the name uncultured prokaryote. RNAcentral describes it as "partial 16S ribosomal RNA". It matches the Rfam family "Bacterial small subunit ribosomal RNA", at positions 524 to 773 of the family's 1533-position model. The record is from RNAcentral.
UACGGAAGGUCCGGGCGUUAUCCGGAUUUAUUGGGUUUGAAGGGAGCGCAGGCCGGAGAUUAAGCGUGACGAGAAAUGCCGCGGCUCAACCGUGGAAGUGCGUCGCGAACUGGUUUCCUUGAGUGCAUUCGACGUCAGCGGAAUUCGUGGUGUAGCGGUGAAAUGCUUAGAUAUCACGAAGAACUCCGAUUGCGAAGGCAGCUGGCGAGACUGUAACUGACGCUAAGGCUCGAAGGUGCGGGUAUCAAAC